GGGGCAGCGUAAUCGACAAGUGUGGGAGAGCGCAUCGCUGGCAGCAAUGAGGUCAGGGGUUCAAACCCCCUUGGCCCCCCA
Molecule: transfer RNA, 81 nt
Filed under: Paenibacillus selenitireducens
Lineage: Bacteria; Bacillati; Bacillota; Bacilli; Caryophanales; Paenibacillaceae
Description: tRNA-Ala
Source: RNAcentral